Austrofundulus limnaeus is the source of this 365-nucleotide long non-coding RNA. RefSeq lists it as uncharacterized. The record is from RefSeq and is a predicted model, not a curated record. Lineage: Eukaryota; Metazoa; Chordata; Actinopteri; Cyprinodontiformes; Rivulidae. The transcript is spliced from 2 exons.
AUUUUCAACAUCCACAUAUUCCUAUAAAUAUUAAAAACCACUUAUUUACGGAGUCAUACAUUCAAGUUUUUGCUUUCAUUAUUUUAUCAUAGCUUUACGUCUCGUUUUCCUCAGCACACUCGACACAGCAGCCAACCAGGUCAGAAAAAUAGAGUCUUUGUUUCUCCAACAGACUGGUCAAUUAUUAUCACAGCGGCGUGGCCGGACUUUGACCAGAGCUGCCUGGGAAAAACAAGGGCGCAGAAGUAGCUGGUGAGAAGCGAUGGAUAGUCCGUCAUCACUCCUGUGGCUCCCAGUUCUAACGCUGCUUUUAUGUCUUCAUCUUCGUUGCAAACAAAUAAAUGCACCUACAAUUACAGAUAAUA